RNAcentral lists this long non-coding RNA (793 nucleotides) under Gossypium barbadense (sea-island cotton). Its description in RNAcentral is "long non-coding RNA (GBAR_LNC021438)". Lineage: Eukaryota; Viridiplantae; Streptophyta; Magnoliopsida; Malvales; Malvaceae. The record is from RNAcentral.
GGUCAGAGGCAAUUUUACAAUAAUCUACCUAUGCCACCAUGACUUGAUUCCUCUGUACUGAAGUUGGGUUUCAUCUAAUCUCAUAUUGGUUUUUAGAAGAACUUUUUAUAUAGAGUUUAUUAAUUAAUGUAUUUGAUUUAAUAGGUUUGAAGUGCGAAUGAUUGGAAGUUGAAGUGCUAGAACUCGAAUUAAGGAGAUUGUGAAAUGAAAACAUUUGAAUGACGGUAACCAAGACAAGUAUCACAACUUAAAAGCAACCAAUCAAACCAUUGCUGAUCCAUCAUAUUAUUCAUGGCCUACUCUUUAUGUGCAGAGAAAUACUCAAAUCAAUGGGAACCCAAAAAGGAAUCAGAGGAAAUGUAAAGCGAAUUACAUUGAAAUGAAAAGUCUCGCCUAUCAACCAUUGUCUGUUUUAACAAGGGCCCUCUCUCACUAUUCUUGCCCAUCAAAGAUUAACAAGAAUAGCCUAAAUCAAAAUUCCCUGUUUCUUUAUUAUUAUUAUUAUUAUUAUUAUUAUUAUUAUUAUUAUUAUUAUAUCUUAAUUUUAAAACCAAAACAAAAAAAUAAAAAUAAAAAUUGAUGGUGCAAAGAAUUUGAACCCAUAUCAAAUUUUCUUCACGCUUCUUUACCUUUUACCUGCAGAGAAGAAUCAAUCGACAUGCCUGGUUUUGUUGGCACAGCGAGUGAGGUAGAGGAAGCCUGAAACAAGACUCAGACAAAAGUAGCGCAAUCAUCGAAUUUGAUUGCGAAUUUGUGAAGGAGAACAGAGCAGUCCUGAUGCAUCUGCCCCGAC